RNAcentral lists this long non-coding RNA (710 nucleotides) under Malus domestica (apple). RNAcentral describes it as "long non-coding RNA (MDOM_LNC018943)". The record is from RNAcentral. Lineage: Eukaryota; Viridiplantae; Streptophyta; Magnoliopsida; Rosales; Rosaceae.
GACUAGUCUCGAGUCAUUGGUGUGUGUGACAUCAAGACAAGUACGUAGGUGUUCAAUAGAGAAUGAGUUCACUGAACACGAUCAACGAAGAGUUCUCAUAUUCAUGUCACAUGAGAACUCAUGGUUGGGAUAAUGCAAAGUAGUCCUUUGACCUGAGGCAUCACAGCUGUCUUGUGGUUAAGUUCUUGAUCUUUGAUUAUGUCAAAGUCACCCCAUCAGGGUGUCCACGGCAUCGUUGGGAUUAAGCCACUUAGCCAUGGAGACAAGUGAAUGCGCAACAAAGGAUCUCUAACCUUCAAACCGUUUGAGGGAGAAUACUCUAUGAUAUGAUUUAGAACCUCUGGCCAGAGUAUGAAUGAGAUUUAGAAAAGUCGUUCUAAAUCACAUUCAAGGUAAUCAUAUAAGCACACGAAUCACAUUGGAUAGUAGACAUGAAUAAAUAAACUAUCAAACCAAACAAUGUGGUCAAGAGUAUUGUAUUAGAGAAAGACCGUAUUGCAUUUGUAAUUCUAAACUGAAUAGGUUCUCCACCUCUUCUGAUUAGCUUGGGUAACCAUGAUAUGCUGCUAGGUGUCACUCAUGGUUUGUGGAAGCCCUAAACGUGUGUAAUCACUAAAGGGAGAAUUGAAAGUAAGUUUCAAUUCACAGUCGAUUUGAAAGAGUUCUAAUCGCCCACUGCCUCGCUAAAAGGAACCUAAUGGAUCGUACAC